CAGAGCAAAUAAACGAGACAUUAA
This 24-nucleotide non-coding RNA is filed under the name Arabidopsis thaliana (thale cress). The record is from RNAcentral. Lineage: Eukaryota; Viridiplantae; Streptophyta; Magnoliopsida; Brassicales; Brassicaceae.